AUUUUAUUUACAUUAAAAAGUUAUUGUGAGAUGAAAUAUAAUUUGAAUAUAAAAAUGUUAUUUAUUUUUUUGUUAAUUUAUUUUUUUAUUUAAAUUAAAAUUAAAUUUGUUUUUUUAUUAAUUUUUAAAGAAAAAAUUUUUUUAAUUAUAUAUUAUUUUUAUUGAAAAAGAUUUAUUUUUGUUUAUUAAAAGUAGAAUUUAUUUUUUGUACCUUGUGUAUCAGGGCUUAUUAAUUUUUAAUUUUUAUAGGUUUUUCUCGAAAUUAAGGGAUUUAUUUUAUUAUAAUUUUUAAUGUUUCAUCAUUAUUUUUCAUAGUAAAAUGGCAAUGAAAAGUUUUCGUUCUUUUUAUAUCUAGUUUUUCAAGAAAUGAAUUUAAUUCAGAAUUUUGUAUAUAAAUAAUUUUUUUAAAAUUAAAUUAUUUAUUUAAAAAAUUUUAUAAUUUAUAAGCCCUGAUUUAAAUUAAAUUUUUAAAAACUUUUUUUUAUUAUUAAAUUUAUAAGUUUAGAAUUAUUUAUUAAUUAAAUUAUGUUAUAAUUUAUUUAAUUUUUAAUAUUAUUUAUAUUUGUUUUAUUUUAUUUAUUGAAAUUAUAUUUAUAAUUUUUUAUAUUAUUUAAUAAUGAUAAGAUUAGUAUGAUUUUUGUAAAUAAUUUUUUUAUAAUUAAUUUUUAAUAAAGGAAUUCGGCAAAUUAAUUUUCGAAUGUUUAUCAAAAACAUUUUUUUUUGUUAAUAAUUUAAAGUAAAGCCUGCUCAAUGAAUAUUUAAAUAGCUGCGGUAUUUUGACCGUACAAAGGUAGCAUAAUCAUUAGUUUUUUAAUUGAAAGCUAGAAUGAAUGGUUUAACGAGAAAUUAACUGUCUCUAUAAAAUUAUCAAAAUUUAAUUUUUAAGUCAAAAAGCUUAAAUUUUUUUAAAAGACGAGAAGACCCUAUAGAUCUUUAUAAAUAAUAAAUUUAUUAAAUUUUUAGAUUUAUUUUUUUAUAAUUUUAUUUUUAUUUUAUUGGGGUGAUAUAAAGAUUAAAAUAACUCUUUAUUUUUUUAUUAAUUAUUUUUAUAAUUUUGAUCCUUAUUUAUGAUUAUAAGAUUAAGUUACCUUAGGGAUAACAGCGUAAUUUUUUUAAAGAGUUCUUAUCGAUAAAAAAGAUUGCGACCUCGAUGUUGGAUUAAGAAAAAAUUUUGGUGCAGAAGUUAAAAUUUUAGGUCUGUUCGACCUUUAAAUUCUUACAUGAUCUGAGUUCAGACCGGCGUGAGCCAGGUUGGUUUCUAUCUUUAUUUUUUAAAAAUAUUUUAGUACGAAAGGACCAAUUAUUUAAUAUAUUAUUUUAUUUAAGAUUUAAAUUA
Molecule: ribosomal RNA, 1336 nt
Filed under: Scirtes orbicularis
Lineage: Eukaryota; Metazoa; Arthropoda; Insecta; Coleoptera; Scirtidae
Description: partial 16S ribosomal RNA
Rfam family: Archaeal large subunit ribosomal RNA (bases 1095-1253)
Source: RNAcentral